CCUACGGGAGGCAGCAGUGGGGAAUAUUGGGCAAUGGACGCAAGUCUGAACCAGCAACGCCGCGUGAAGGAUGAAGGCUUUCGGGUUGUAAACUUCUUUUAAGAGGGAAGAGAAGAAGACGGUACCACUUGAAUAAGCCACGGCUAACUACGUGCCAGCAGCCGCGGUAAUACGUAGGUGGCAGGCGUUGUCCGGAUUUACUGGGUGUAAAGGGCGUGCAGCCGGGAAGACAAGUCAGAUGUGAAAUCCCGCGGCUCAACCGCGGAACUGCAGUUGAAACUGUUUGUCUUGAGUAUCGGAGAGGUAAUCGGAAUUCCUAGUGUAGCGGUGAAAUGCGUAGAUAUUAGGAAGAACACCAGUGGCGAAGGCGGAUUACUGGACGAUAACUGACGGUGAUGCGCGAAAGCGUGGGAAGCAAACAGGAUUAGAUACCCGUGUAGUC
This 442-nucleotide ribosomal RNA is filed under the name uncultured bacterium. RNAcentral describes it as "partial 16S ribosomal RNA". It matches the Rfam family "Bacterial small subunit ribosomal RNA", at positions 338 to 795 of the family's 1533-position model. The record is from RNAcentral.